UCCAGGCAAAUCCGGAUAAUCAAGGCUGAGGUGUGAUGACGAGGCACUACGGUGCUGAAGUAACAAAUGCCCUGCUUCCAGGAAAAGCCUCUAAGCAUCAGGUAACAUUAAAUCGUACCCCAAACCGACACAGGUGGUCAGGUAGAGAAUACCAAGGCGCUUGAGAGAACUCGGGUGAAGGAACUAGGCAAAAUGGUGCCGUAACUUCGGGAGAAGGCACGCUGGUGUGUAGGUGAAGUCCCUGCGGAUGGAGCUGAGACCAGUCGAAGAUACCAGCUGGCUGCAACUGUUUAUUAAAAACACAGCACUGUGCAAACACGAAAGUGGACGUAUACGGUGUGACGCCUGCCCGGUGCCGGAAGGUUAAUUGAUGGGGUUAUCCGUAAGGAGAAGCUCUUGAUCGAAGCCCCGGUAAACGGCGGCCGUAACUAUAACGGUCCUAAGGUAGCGAAAUUCCUUGUCGGGUAAGUUCCGACCUGCACGAAUGGCGUAAUGAUGGCCAGGCUGUCUCCACCCGAGACUCAGUGAAAUUGAACUCGCUGUGAAGAUGCAGUGUACCCGCGGCAAGACGGAAAGACCCCGUGAACCUUUACUAUAGCUUGACACUGAACAUUGAGCCUUGAUGUGUAGGAUAGGUGGGAGGCUUUGAAGCGUGGACGCCAGUCUGCGUGGAGCCAACCUUGAAAUACCACCCUUUAAUGUUUGAUGUUCUAACGUUGGCCCCUUACCGGGGUUGCGGACAGUGUCUGGUGGGUAGUUUGACUGGGGCGGUCUCCUCCCAAAGCGUAACGGAGGAGCACGAAGGUUAGCUAAUCCUGGUCGGACAUCAGGAGGUUAGUGCAAUGGCAUAAGCUAGCUUGACUGCGAGCGUGACGGCGCGAGCAGGUGCGAAAGCAGGUCAUAGUGAUCCGGUGGUUCUGAAUGGAAGGGCCAUCGCUCAACGGAUAAAAGGUACUCCGGGGAUAACAGGCUGAUACCGCCCAAGAGUUCAUAUCGACGGCGGUGUUUGGCACCUCGAUGUCGGCUCAUCACAUCCUGGGGCUGAAGUAGGUCCCAAGGGUAUGGCUGUUCGCCAUUUAAAGUGGUACGCGAGCUGGGUUUAGAACGUCGUGAGACAGUUCGGUCCCUAUCUGCCGUGGGCGCUGGAGAAUUGAGGGGGGCUGCUCCUAGUACGAGAGGACCGGAGUGGACGCAUCACUGGUGUUCGGGUUGUCAUGCCAAUGGCACUGCCCGGUAGCUAAAUGCGGAAGAGAUAAGUGCUGAAAGCAUCUAAGCACGAAACUUGCCCCGAGAUGAGUUCUCCCUGAGACUUUAAGUCUCCUGAAGGAACGUUAAAGACGAUGACGUUGAUAGGCCGGGUGUGUAAGCGCAGCGAUGCGUUGAGCUAACCGGUACUAAUGAACCGUGAGGCUUAACC
RNAcentral lists this ribosomal RNA (1417 nucleotides) under Klebsiella pneumoniae. RNAcentral describes it as "bacterial LSU rRNA". It matches the Rfam family "Bacterial large subunit ribosomal RNA", at positions 1531 to 2925 of the family's 2925-position model. The record is from RNAcentral. Lineage: Bacteria; Pseudomonadati; Pseudomonadota; Gammaproteobacteria; Enterobacterales; Enterobacteriaceae.